AAACUGAAGAGUUUGAUCAUGGCUCAGAUUGAACGCUGGCGGCAGGCCUAACACAUGCAAGUCGAGCGGUAACAGGGGUAGCUUGCUACCCGCUGACGAGCGGCGGACGGGUGAGUAAUGCAUAGG
RNAcentral lists this ribosomal RNA (126 nucleotides) under Halomonas sp. SpR1. RNAcentral describes it as "partial 16S ribosomal RNA". It matches the Rfam family "Bacterial small subunit ribosomal RNA", at positions 1 to 121 of the family's 1533-position model. Lineage: Bacteria; Pseudomonadati; Pseudomonadota; Gammaproteobacteria; Oceanospirillales; Halomonadaceae. The record is from RNAcentral.